RNAcentral lists this transfer RNA (47 nucleotides) under Bavayia jourdani. RNAcentral's name for it is "partial tRNA-Cys". Lineage: Eukaryota; Metazoa; Chordata; Lepidosauria; Squamata; Diplodactylidae. The record is from RNAcentral.
UCAAAUUGCAAAUUUGAAAGCGAUUCCUAUUUUUGGUUCCGGGGCUU